This is a non-coding RNA of Helianthus annuus (common sunflower), 102 nucleotides long. The record is from Rfam. NCBI's taxonomy places the organism in Eukaryota, Viridiplantae, Streptophyta, Magnoliopsida, Asterales, Asteraceae.
UUUGACUCGAGAUAUUGUUGCGGUUCAACCUCGUCAUUCAAGUCGUCUGUGAAUUUCGACUCAAUGGUUUGGUUGAGCCGCGUCAAUAUCGCGGUCAAACUU